UCAAGCGUUUCUUUUAUCUUUACACCGUUUCACUGAAGCGUGAGAAAGUAAUUCGUUCCUUACCAAUAGAAGUGGAAGUUUGCACUUUACCCCGGUUGUUUCGCACGAUCUACGUUAACUCCCCAUUGUUUGAUUUAAUCGCUUAGUUAUUUCUAUAGUUAAGAGCCAAUCGGCGAGCAUUCGAGUUCUUCCUCAACGUUUGUUCUGAAUUGCACAGAAGCCCAGCCAUAAAUAACUCACUCUAGCCAUUCAAUUCGACAGAAGAAUCGAAUACCGUGAAGUAUUCAAGUCAAAUAUGCAUACACACUAAAUGAGAGAUGCAAAUAAGACAGAGGUUAACAGGAAGAUGUAGACUUGAUAUGACCAUCAGGGGUCAAACAAAAUGCGUCACCGUCGCAGUCUGAGACAGUGAAACAUCACUUGUUUGACAGCUGUUGAUCACUAAAGGAUAGGAGCACAGAGCCGCAGUCAUAGCAGACUGAAAAGAGAGAGAGAGAAAGAAUACGAGACGAAAGGGAGAGAGGUUAACCAAAAUAACUGUCCUGUUGGAUAGUCUGCCCUAGGAAAAACAGGAGCGGGUGGCACAGGCGAGGAGAAAGAAGGUAUGAAAACAAUAUGUUCUCACAAACACGAUGAAGACGUUUGACAACAAAUAAAGUCAUAAAAAAUGUGCAGCGCAUACUACGUGCGGAGGUUGUAGGUUCGGCUCACUCCCACCAGCAGCGAGUGUCAUCCUUUACGAUGUUUUGUUGCAUCUACGUCCUGAUCAAACCCGCAAAGUUAUAGGCAUGGUAAAUGGAAAGACAGAAUCAGGCUAGAUUGUUAGACUGCUCUUUCGCAAAUAUCGGAAGCCUCGGGACGUUUGCCUCAACUAGACGCUGUGACUCGCUUCGAGAGUACGGGCUUUUGUAUGUUUUGUUAAUCCACGUGCAUUUUGUUGUACGGUCAUUUCAUAUGUCAUCGCUCUCAUCGGGAGUAACAUGCUCUAUAUAUGUGAGCCGCCAGUUAAACUUUCCCAGAUUUCAAUAAAUAACACCUCCCUUCUCUC
Molecule: long non-coding RNA, 1048 nt
Organism: Dermacentor silvarum
Lineage: Eukaryota; Metazoa; Arthropoda; Arachnida; Ixodida; Ixodidae
Exons: 2
Source: RefSeq, a predicted model, not a curated record